This 57-nucleotide transfer RNA is filed under the name Anaerolineales bacterium. Its description in RNAcentral is "tRNA-Met". It matches the Rfam family "tRNA", at positions 9 to 63 of the family's 71-position model. From Rfam's summary of the family: Transfer RNA (tRNA) molecules are approximately 80 nucleotides in length. Their secondary structure includes four short double-helical elements and three loops (D, anti-codon, and T loops). Further hydrogen bonds mediate the characteristic L-shaped molecular structure. tRNAs have two regions of fundamental functional importance: the anti-codon, which is responsible for specific mRNA codon recognition, and the 3' end, to which the tRNAs corresponding amino acid is attached (by aminoacyl-tRNA synthetases). tRNAs cope with the degeneracy of the genetic code in two manners: having more than one tRNA (with a specific anti-codon) for a particular amino acid; and 'wobble' base-pairing, i.e. permitting non-standard base-pairing at the 3rd anti-codon position. The record is from RNAcentral. Lineage: Bacteria; Bacillati; Chloroflexota; Anaerolineae; Anaerolineales.
GGAGCAGUGGCAGCUCGUCGGGCUCAUAACCCGAAGGUCGCAGGUUCAAGUCCUGCC